RNAcentral lists this ribosomal RNA (274 nucleotides) under uncultured bacterium. Its description in RNAcentral is "partial 16S ribosomal RNA". It matches the Rfam family "Bacterial small subunit ribosomal RNA", at positions 523 to 796 of the family's 1533-position model. The record is from RNAcentral.
CUACGGAGGGUGCAAACGUUGUUCGGAAUUACUGGGCGUAAAGGGCGCGUAGGCGGUCUGUUAUGUCAGAUGUGAAAGUCCUCGGCUCAACCGGGGAAGUGCAUUUGAAACUGGCAGACUUGAGUACUGGAGGGGGUGGUGGAAUUCCCGGUGUAGAGGUGAAAUUCGUAGAUAUCGGGAGGAAUACCGGUGGCGAAGGCGACCACCUGGCCAGAUACUGACGCUGAGGUGCGAAAGCGUGGAGAGCAAACAGGAUUAGAAACCCCAGUAGUCC